GUGGGGAAUAUUGGGCAAUGGGCGAAAGCCUGACCCAGCAACGCCGCGUGAAGGAAGAAGGUCUUCGGAUCGUAAACUUCUAUCCUUGGUGAAGAUAAUGACGGUAGCCGAGAAGGAAGCCCCGGCUAACUACAUGCCAGCAGCCGCGGUAAUACGUAGGGGGCAAGCGUUGUCCGGAAUGAUUGGGCGUAAAGGGCGCGUAGGCGGCCUGGUAAGUCUGGAGUGAAAGUCCUGCUUUUAAGGUGGGAAUUGCUUUGGAUACUGUCGGGCUUGAGUGCAGGAGAGGUAAGUGGAAUUCCUGGUGUAGCGGUGAAAUGCGUAGAGAUCGGGAGGAACACCAGUGGCGAAGGCGACUUACUGGACUGUAACUGACGCUGAGGCGCGAAAGUGUGGGGAGCAAACAGGAUUAGAUACCCGAGUAGUCC
Molecule: ribosomal RNA, 425 nt
Filed under: uncultured bacterium
Lineage: Bacteria
Description: partial 16S ribosomal RNA
Rfam family: Bacterial small subunit ribosomal RNA
Source: RNAcentral